CGCGCAGGCGGCCUUUUAAGUUGGAUGUGAAAGCCUAUGGCUCAACCAUAGAACUGCAUCCAAAACUAUCAGGCUGGAGUGUGGGAGAGGAAGAUGGAAUUAGUUGUGUAGGGGUAAAAUCCGUAGAGAUAACUAGGAAUACCAAAAGCGAAGGCAAUCUUCUGGAACAUUACUGACGCUGAGGCGCGAAAGCGUGGGGAGCAAACAGGAUUAGAUACCCUGGUAGUCC
Molecule: ribosomal RNA, 229 nt
Filed under: uncultured bacterium
Lineage: Bacteria
Description: partial 16S ribosomal RNA
Rfam family: Bacterial small subunit ribosomal RNA
Source: RNAcentral